GCUCCCAUGGCGUAGUGGUCACUGCGCACGCCUUGCACGUGGGAGACCCGGGUUCGAUUUCCGGCGGGGUCA
RNAcentral lists this transfer RNA (72 nucleotides) under Diaphorina citri (Asian citrus psyllid). It matches the Rfam family "tRNA". Rfam says of the family: Transfer RNA (tRNA) molecules are approximately 80 nucleotides in length. Their secondary structure includes four short double-helical elements and three loops (D, anti-codon, and T loops). Further hydrogen bonds mediate the characteristic L-shaped molecular structure. tRNAs have two regions of fundamental functional importance: the anti-codon, which is responsible for specific mRNA codon recognition, and the 3' end, to which the tRNAs corresponding amino acid is attached (by aminoacyl-tRNA synthetases). tRNAs cope with the degeneracy of the genetic code in two manners: having more than one tRNA (with a specific anti-codon) for a particular amino acid; and 'wobble' base-pairing, i.e. permitting non-standard base-pairing at the 3rd anti-codon position. Lineage: Eukaryota; Metazoa; Arthropoda; Insecta; Hemiptera; Psyllidae. The record is from Rfam by way of RNAcentral.